AGAGUUGAUCCUGGCUCAGAGCGAACGCUGGCGGCAGGCUUAACACAUGCAAGUCGAACGGGCACUUCGGUGCUAGUGGCAGACGGGUGAGUAACACGUGGGAACGUACCUUUCGGUUCGGAAUAAUUCAGGGAAACUUGGACUAAUACCGGAUACGCCCUUCGGGGGAAAGAUUUAUCGCCGAUAGAUCGGCCCGCGUCUGAUUAGCUAGUUGGUGAGGUAAUGGCUCACCAAGGCGACGAUCAGUAGCUGGUCUGAGAGGAUGAUCAGCCACAUUGGGACUGAGACACGGCCCAAACUCCUACGGGAGGCAGCAGUGGGGAAUAUUGGACAAUGGGCGCAAGCCUGAUCCAGCCAUGCCGCGUGAGUGAUGAAGGCCUUAGGGUUGUAAAGCUCUUUUGUCCGGGAAGAUAAUGACUGUACCGGAAGAAUAAGCCCCGGCUAACUUCGUGCCAGCAGCCGCGGUAAUUCA
RNAcentral lists this ribosomal RNA (472 nucleotides) under uncultured Allobosea sp. RNAcentral's name for it is "bacterial SSU rRNA". It matches the Rfam family "Bacterial small subunit ribosomal RNA", at positions 8 to 527 of the family's 1533-position model. Lineage: Bacteria; Pseudomonadati; Pseudomonadota; Alphaproteobacteria; Hyphomicrobiales; Alloboseaceae. The record is from RNAcentral.